CCCAAAGUCAUGGUUAAGUGGGAAACGAUGUGGGAAGGCACAGACAGCCAGGAUGUUGGCUUAGAAGCAGCCAUCAUUUAAAGAAAGCGUAAUAGCUCACUGGUCGAGUCGGCCUGCGCGGAAGAUGUAACGGGGCUAAACCAUGCACCGAAGCUGCGGCAGCGACACUUAGGUGUUGUUGGGUAGGGGAGCGUUCUGUAAGCCGUUGAAGGUGACCUGUGAGGUGCUGGAGGUAUCAGAAGUGCGAAUGCUGACAUAAGUAACGAUAAUGCGGGUGAAAAACCCGCACGCCGGAAGACCAAGGGUUCCUGUCCAACGUUAAUCGGGGCAGGGUGAGUCGGCCCCUAAGGCGAGGCUGAAAAGCGUAGUCGAUGGGAAACAGGUUAAUAUUCCUGUACUUGGUGUUACUGCGAAGGGGGGACGGAGAAGGCUAGGCUAGCCGGGCGACGGUUGUCCCGGUUUAAGCAUGUAGGCGGAGUGACUUGGUAAAUCCGGUUACUUAUCAACGCUGAGGUGUGAUGACGAGCCACUACGGUGGUGAAGUAGUUGAUGCCAAGCUUCCAGGAAAAGCCUCUAAGCAUCAGGUAACAUUAAAUCGUACCCCAAACCGACACAGGUGGUCAGGUAGAGAAUACUCA
Molecule: ribosomal RNA, 638 nt
Filed under: Leptospira borgpetersenii serovar Ballum
Lineage: Bacteria; Pseudomonadati; Spirochaetota; Leptospiria; Leptospirales; Leptospiraceae
Description: partial 23S ribosomal RNA
Rfam family: Bacterial large subunit ribosomal RNA
Source: RNAcentral